Molecule: long non-coding RNA, 1125 nt
Filed under: Olea europaea subsp. europaea
Lineage: Eukaryota; Viridiplantae; Streptophyta; Magnoliopsida; Lamiales; Oleaceae
Source: RNAcentral
AUUUCUCACCUGUCUCUCUCCCGUUUCUCCCAAAAUUUUGCCCUAGAAAGCACGAUUCUCUACUCCAAUUGUGAAGAAGUUGGGCGCUGCAAACUUCUGGCCACCGUGCAGUUCGAAUCACAACCAUCAUCUUCUUGCAAACACGAGGUUCAGACGCGUUGCUUCAGAGUAAGCAAUGUUGUUGUGGUUGCAAAAAAAUUUGAACUUUUUUUUGAAGGGUGGCUGCAUUGAAAUACUGGAAUCUUAUUUGAGCUCUGUAUUUUUGGGCGAUCGUUUUCUCUGAUGGCUAUCAUUUUGAAUUGGUGGGAAUGUUAGAAAUUCGAGCUUUUCGUUGCUUGCUUACUUAAUCUGUGGCAUAGUAGGAAGGAUUUUAACAUUGUUUUCUGUAUGGUUCAGUUAUAUGCUACAAUGGUGGGGAAGGAUUCCAGAAUUUUGACAUAGCUAUAGAGGCAAAGGGCACUUCUUCGCCGAAUGUCCAAUUAAACGAAAAUGUCUGUUGUGUCAGAAUGGAUUUCAAAAGUGUUUCGAGGUCAGAAAAUCGACUCCUAAUAGAGGGAGAUUAUUCAAAUGUUGCAGUAAUAAAUGUGGCUACUGGGCCUGGGUCGUAGAAGGACAGACUAGCAGCGAAUCCACUAAUGCUAGCCCUACCUUGGUGACAGCUGAAGAUUUGUCCCAUAGGUUCGAAUCUUAGGUUCGGCUAACUGAAGAAGUGGACUUUGAAAUAUCUAUGAAUGUGACGAUUCGCAGGGGAACGGGCAGUGCAGAAGGGAUUGAAAAAGGAAGGGGCCGGCUUGAUUUGUAGUCAAUUUGUUGAACGUUUUAUGUACUAACUUAUGUAAGGAUUGUUUUCUGGGUUCGGUUCAUCAAAAUAUGUAGUUGGUAGUAGGUUAUGGAUGAAACCGAUGUAACCUAUGUAACUUCUAUGGAUGAAACCAACGUAACUGAAAAUCAUUUUAUUUAUGCUAAUGUCUACAUAUUAUCAGCCUCUUCCUAUCUCUCUUCACCAUCUUUAGAGCUGCUGACAAUUACAGAUUACAGAUUGUGGAUUCCAAAUGUUGAUAUUUGUCCAAUUGUAUUCCAGUAAAUUGAGAAAUGGGUGAAUCGGUCCUAUUCUAUACAUUUCAG